This is a long non-coding RNA of Spinacia oleracea (spinach), 956 nucleotides long. RefSeq lists it as uncharacterized. Lineage: Eukaryota; Viridiplantae; Streptophyta; Magnoliopsida; Caryophyllales; Amaranthaceae. The transcript is spliced from 3 exons. The record is from RefSeq and is a predicted model, not a curated record.
AAUUUUCUACCCCACUUUGUAAUUAUUUAAUACGAAGUAUAUAUAAUUUUCUAGGAACCACCACUACAAUAAACUCUCUUUCUACUUUGAUUAAAAUAUCAUCUUUUUUUCUAUAUGUUUAUCACGGGAGAUGAUACACAUACCCCGUGGGUAUGUAGACCCCUUAUACCCUGGUAGGUGAUUGGUCCAACUCAGCUUAAGAAAUUUCAUGAAGGAGGAAAAUGGGGGGACAAAUUGGGGUAAUGGCGCCAUUUAGCUUACACAAGUGGGAGUUUUAGCGCCUAGAAUUAAGUGAAGAACUGAGCACCAAUUUUUUCAUAAAAAAAUAAUUAAUCGAAAAAUAUAAAACUCACCGACGCCGAUCAUAAUUCCGACCAAGUCUCAAUGAAAGCAUGAACCACAUAUUGUAAUUCAAAUAGAGAACUAGUUUUAACAGGUUAAAUACGAGAAAAUAGGUCCCUUAAUUGCAAAGUUCGACUAAUUAUACUGGAGAUCAACUAAUUAUGAACGUAAGUGUUGGUGGGGGAGGUGUUGCUUUUGUCGCUGUUGCAAGCAGAAAUGGAGAUGGUGAUGUUGUCAUUCCUGCUGAAGAAAAGAAAUAGGAAAAGGAGGAAGCCGAGGAGGUCAACUCCCUCUUUGCAAAGUCCAUAAUCAAACUCAACGAAGAAAAAUAUUGUCUAAUAGAUCUUCAAAAUGUGAAGAUACACAACAAUGCGAUUAUAUUUUAGUAAUAACUUUUAGAACUUAGAUAUUGUCUUAUUGUGUAAAUUUGUGGUUAAGUUUAGGAACCUAUGUGUGAUAGGAUAUUGUAGGAGUGCAGAUGAUAGUUUAUCCGGGCUCAAUUUAUAUGUUGUUUUACUUUCUUAGAAGAAUUGUAAGCACAUUUGAAAUUAUUUUAGUAUAAAUACAUGUACUCGAAAUUGAAUUAAAAUGAAGAUUGUUUAUUUAUUUUGUCA